GAAGAGCAAACCAAAUCAAAACCAAACCACCUCCUUUUCUCUCGGGUUCGGAAGACCGGGCUGGAGGAUCGAGGGGCCUCCUGAUUAAUUAAUUAACUUGCUUGCUUCUUUCCUCGUUCGGAUAUCAUUUAUUCUCUGCCUUUCCGGUGCAUUUAAUCGUGAGUUAAUGAGUCGACCGUAACAUCGAUCUAUCUCUGUUGACGACUACGCUCAGCGUAAUUAUAGCCUACCUGUCUGCAGCGAGCUACUUAACUGGCUAGCUAGCUGUCUGGCCGGCCUUUUCUCCCUCCC
This 291-nucleotide long non-coding RNA is filed under the name Ananas comosus (pineapple). Its description in RNAcentral is "long non-coding RNA (ACOM_LNC008004)". Lineage: Eukaryota; Viridiplantae; Streptophyta; Magnoliopsida; Poales; Bromeliaceae. The record is from RNAcentral.